RNAcentral lists this ribosomal RNA (800 nucleotides) under Enterococcus sp. Its description in RNAcentral is "bacterial SSU rRNA". It matches the Rfam family "Bacterial small subunit ribosomal RNA", at positions 75 to 852 of the family's 1533-position model. Lineage: Bacteria; Bacillati; Bacillota; Bacilli; Lactobacillales; Enterococcaceae. The record is from RNAcentral.
GGAGCUUGCUCCACCGAAAGAAAAAGAGUGGCGAACGGGUGAGUAACACGUGGGUAACCUGCCCAUCAGAAGGGGAUAACACUUGGAAACAGGUGCUAAUACCGUAUAACACUAUUUUCCGCAUGGAAGAAAGUUGAAAGGCGCUUUUGCGUCACUGAUGGAUGGACCCGCGGUGCAUUAGCUAGUUGGUGAGGUAACGGCUCACCAAGGCAACGAUGCAUAGCCGACCUGAGAGGGUGAUCGGCCACACUGGGACUGAGACACGGCCCAGACUCCUACGGGAGGCAGCAGUAGGGAAUCUUCGGCAAUGGACGAAAGUCUGACCGAGCAACGCCGCGUGAGUGAAGAAGGUUUUCGGAUCGUAAAACUCUGUUGUUAGAGAAGAACAAGGAUGAGAGUAGAACGUUCAUCCCUUGACGGUAUCUAACCAGAAAGCCACGGCUAACUACGUGCCAGCAGCCGCGGUAAUACGUAGGUGGCAAGCGUUGUCCGGAUUUAUUGGGCGUAAAGCGAGCGCAGGCGGUUUCUUAAGUCUGAUGUGAAAGCCCCCGGCUCAACCGGGGAGGGUCAUUGGAAACUGGGAGACUUGAGUGCAGAAGAGGAGAGUGGAAUUCCAUGUGUAGCGGUGAAAUGCGUAGAUAUAUGGAGGAACACCAGUGGCGAAGGCGGCUCUCUGGUCUGUAACUGACGCUGAGGCUCGAAAGCGUGGGGAGCGAACAGGAUUAGAUACCCUGGUAGUCCACGCCGUAAACGAUGAGUGCUAAGUGUUGGGAGGGUUUCCGCCCCUUCAGUGCUGCAAC